Lycium barbarum (goji berry) is the source of this 106-nucleotide small nucleolar RNA. The record is from RefSeq and is a predicted model, not a curated record. NCBI's taxonomy places the organism in Eukaryota, Viridiplantae, Streptophyta, Magnoliopsida, Solanales, Solanaceae.
AAGCCAUGAUUCGGGCUCUUCUGAAAAUACUCUUUAAAUCUCUCUCAGGCUUCAUGUAGUUGUUCCCCCAGUUGCUGCUUAAAUUCAUAUAUCUUGUCAUGAAUUU